CCUUCUCCCCCUCUCCUCUCUGUUUGUCCUGGUGGCCGCCCCUCCUGGUCAUUGUGCUAACUAAAAUCACAGCCCUAUUCAUAGGGAUGGCUUGUACAGACUAACUGGAGCCACUGCCCUGCCUAGGAAGGGGGCUUCUUGCUUCUGCGUUUGACUCCUUUGUUCAAACCCGGGCUCGGUGUGGGGGGGCGCUGUCCAGAAAUGCAAGACCUGAAGUGGCCAAC
Molecule: non-coding RNA, 224 nt
Organism: Chelonoidis abingdonii (Abingdon island giant tortoise)
Lineage: Eukaryota; Metazoa; Chordata; Testudines; Testudinidae
Source: RefSeq, a predicted model, not a curated record